GGCUAGACAGAGAUCUCCGCACGAGCCUGCUGGCAGUUUUUGCCCGACCAUGACGUGACCGUUUAUUGCAGUUCUUUCAGCCUUUUAACGAGUUGCUUCCCUGCCGGGGGUGAGGGACCGAAAGAGUUAACGUCUCAAACGCUGAGGCGGGGCAAGGUCUGCGUACCGACGAACCACAGGCGACAAGCGGAUCGGCACCGGCCAGCCCGGGACACCGGCAAGAGGCGGCCGGGCCGGGCCGGGCCGAGCCGCGCCGCGGGGCUCCGCGCUCCGAAGGGCGGGGCAGGGCGGCGCGGGGCGGCUCCGCCUCUGCGGCCGGAGGACAAACAAGGGUCACGCCUGCAGGCCGGGAGGAGCGGCUCUCCAAACGACCCCAGGCCCACCGACCCAUUUCCCGAGGGUUCCGAAAGCACAGACCGCGCGUGGCACCUCAUCAGCCUCAUGAGUGCGAGCGCCCGCCCGAAGGAGGGGCCGGGACGUGAUAAAAGAGCGCGAACGGAAGCCUCAGGCGCGCGCGCCCGCCGGAAGCGGGCCUUUGGGCUGGCCGGAGCAACGCUGGAGCCAGGAGCGGUGUUGCCAGCUAAAGUUGCUGUCACUGAGGGUGUCGUUGAACAGUCUCCCCCAGUUCCGUGGCCUCAAGAUCCAGACUUUUUCCAAGAGGAUCCUGCAUUGGCUGUGUCCUGUGCCCCUGGGACUGGUAAUUCAACAGACUUCGGUGCAAUGGAUUUGGAAUCCAUUUGAUUGAUGUGAUGGGAUGGAGGUGAUAGUGGGAGUUGUAAUAACCAUUUAUUUCCCCAUUGCAUGGGUGCUUUGUCUUGCAUCAAAGUCGUUCAGAUGGUCAAGCUGUGAUAAUGGAACUUUGUCAGCACAGCUAAGGUUUUGCCCAUCAUCAAAGAAGGUGGAUGGGUUUAUAAAAUACCUAUAAAAAAUAAUAAAUCUUUUUUUAAACAGAAAUCAGCUCCAGAAGAGAACAAAACUGGCUCUACCCAGAAUGAGUAAAGUAGGCUGGAAGAGAUAAUUCAAAACUGAAUGCCUCCUCCAAUUAGCUAGCUACACAUUUUGCCGUUUUGUUAUUGUGUUUCUUGAUCUACCAGGGGUUGUUCUUUUACUUAAACAGAAUUUGUCAGGACAUAAAUGCAUAUAGGUUCCAUUAGAAAUGUCAAACCACAUGGUAUUCUUGCAAGUUGGGUUUUAGAAUCUCUUUUAUCUGAAGGAGACAAAUGCUCAGAAGCAGGGAACAUGCUUCCUUUUCUGAAGCAGGAAUGCUGGACAGAAAGAAAGGUCUUCCAGAGUUGUUUUUGUUAGGGCUACUUUUUUGUGCCUUUUCUAAUGGGGGCUAUUGCAAUUCUGAGAGAGGAGAAGGAAAGUUGCUCUAAUGCGUGCCAUCUGUUCAGGGACUUGAAAGGCUGGCUACCUGACUGCAAUGGCUGGCAGGACAGGAGGUGACAGGGAUUCUGCACUUUUCCUCUAGGAUGGUGGUAGUUUAUGAUUGCUUUUGAGGACUGGCAUAGCCAAGGGGUAGGACAUGAAAGAAUUAUGCUCAGAGUUCUUUUGUGCAGGCUUUAGAGACUUCUGAUCAUUUCUCAAGUUUAGAGAGAGCAGCUUCUGUCAUACUUGUGUAACUGAGCUGUUUGGCUUUCUCAGAGAUGGCAGAGCUAAUAAGCUUGAGAUGCUGCUGUCCGUAUGCUGCCACCUUUAGAAACAAAACCAGCUUGGAUGUUCUUACUUGGAAAUAUGUCUGUUAAUAAAGCUUAAGUGACCUUGUAACAGUAGGUCUAGUCUUGAGUAUGAAAAACAUCAUGUCUAGUUAUGCAGUUUGGGUUCCUUUGCUUUCCUGUAGGAAUCUGAGACUAAGGCUCUUGGUUGUUUUUUGGGUUGGUUUGGGUGUGGGUUCUCCCCCCCAUUUGUGUGUGUGUUUUUCUUCCUCCUUCCCAAUUCCUCCCUGAGAUGGCAAGGAGUAGAAAGCUGUUUUGUUUUCUAGUUCAGGGUGCCUGGAGACAAAAUGCUGGAAUGCAUAUCUUUGGAGCGUAACAUAAAGAGCAUGACUUAUACCUAGAAGUUUAUAACUUUUAUUUUCUGACACUGCUUUUUAUGGUUCAUUCCUGCUGUCAGUUGGCAACAGCCAGAAGAGCCAAGAAUGCUCUGUGAGGCACCGUGUAAACUCCACACUUUGAGGUUCUUGUUUUAAGGAGUACUAGCCAAGCUGCAGAGUCUGCCUUCUGGCAGCAGUGAGGAUACGUGAACAGACCUGGCUAUCUCUGUGUAUUUGGAAGCAUAAUGGAAAAUUGACUGCUGAAUUCCCACACAGUUUCUGAAGGGUGAGCAUCUAAGCCUUAGCUAGGUUUCUAAGUGCCGUUUGAAGGACAAAACUGGAAAAAAGAGUGUGCGAGUUAAACAAAACUAUGAUUGCAGAUGGUGUCAUCCCCCCCAUCCCCCCUGCUUUUAAAUUACUCCAGACAUGAAACACUAUAUGAUCAUACCACAUUUGCUACAACUUCCUGUGAUGUGUUGCCAGAUGUUCUAGCUGUCCUGUAAUGAAAGCUUAUCCUGAAGGAUGGAAUCCAUUCUGGGGUAGAGGAGGACAAGCCUGCAUAAGGCUUGUAUACCACCUAACCUGUUAGAAAGUGAAAAUAGUGCUGCUGUCAUUUUAGGGUAUGAAUUGCAUCCAUAGCACUUAAGAAUUUACCUUGGAUUUCUCUGAAUUCCUUCUGCUGGAAGAUUAAAACAUUUGCGAUGGGUAAACUAAUAACUAGUUCUGUUUCAGGCAGAAUUGCUGUGUGGUGAACUAUAUACGCCUGUACUUACUAUACAUGGGCGAGGCUAAAUAAUUUUAAGUCCAGUUUUUGUGAAGAAAAAUUGUAUUGAGAGACUUGAGUUUUAGCUGAAAGAUAUGAAUUUUAAUCCUAGAAAAUGGAAAAGAAAGGAAUUAAAACUUUGAUUUUUCUUUAAUUUUUUUCAUCUUGCACUGAGAUCUAGUAGCCUGUGCAUUAAGUGUGUGCUUACAGUGGAGAAAACAUGAGAGCAUUCACAGAAGCUUUUCUCCAUGUUGAACUGCAUAUAUACAUAACCAUAGCUUGGCAUAGAAUGAUAAAAGAUUUGCUACCAGGUGAAAAUUAGUAAAAAGACCAGGAUUUUUUUUUUCUUGUAAAUCAGAUUUUUAUUUGAAGUUCUGCAUUGUUUCACAUUCAUAGAUGAUAUUUGUGUUUUUAAAGUUUGUGUUCUCAGCAAUUUAUAGUAAAUUGAUGUAGUAACUCAAAGUUUGGUAUUUCCAUUUGUCUUCUUCAAGCCAGCUAUGGUGCUUUAGGGCCUUGUAAGACUUCCAAAUGGAGGAGCUAAUAUUGCUCACAGUGGUGCUACAAGUCCUCCUGCAGUAGGAGUGCAGCAUAGUUAAAGAGGAAGGCGGGGGGUGGGGAGAAGGCUUCAAAACAAACUGUUUUACUGUAUUUUGCAGAUAGUAGUCUAUGAAGGGGACACCUCUUGAAGAGAUAACAGCUCUGUAUAGAGUCCUGGUUGUGCUUAGAAGCUUUGGUAGUGCUACGGUAUAUGGAAGUCCUAACUGUGACACAGAACAUCACUGUACAAGGAACAACACCCAGGACAACACCAGAAUGCCUCCCUUGGAGAUCAGAUUGAUCAUCGGAGGAAUGUUCGUUCUUCUUGAGGGGAGUAAUCAUCGCCAGCAUGAACUAGAUCUAGUUUACACCUGGGCAAGCCUGAUGCAUGGGGUGGAGGCCCUCACAGCUUUUAUUUGUGCUAAUCAGUACGGUAACUGUAGUACAUUCUGCAUCAUACAUGUUUAAAAUCAAUGGAAGUACAGGAAUAGCAGGAAACUAGACACAAAAUUUAACAGUAACAAUCACUAGCAAACAAUACAGUAGGGAGCAAAAAAUUGAAAGGGGGUAAAGGAAGAUAGCAUUUUCUUAUUCCACAAGGUAGAGACUUCUCUAUUAGAUGUGAUGUGUUAAAUUACACAAACAGAAACACCCUUCUGACUGUUAAAAUGAUGAAUCAGCCAGAAACAAAAAUUAGAACUAUGCUGUUGGCAGCACCCAAUACGUGUAAUGGACUUUACCCCUGACAAAUUGCUGAGAGAGUAGGUAGUGUGUCUGUGGUGGACCAGUGGUGGUAAACAGAGACUAGCCUUGAGAUUUAUCCUAAUACCUAUCCCCAUACUACCUUAGCCGCCACAAUGCAUUUCACUGCCUCUGAGACCCCCAAUAAAACUGUUAUGUGGCUAUCUCCACAAAUUUUCAUGACUGGACCUUAUGCUAUUAAAUGUACAGUACAGCAACAAGUCAUAUUUAACCUGUCAUGGUCCCUAAAAAGGGUAGGACUGUCCAUGUCUCAGCUAAUACUAUAAAGGCCCAAGAUAUUUGCUUAGAUUCAGAACAAAGUAUCUGUAAUUUUGAAAUCUACCCUGAAGAAGCAACUGACUCUAUGGUAGUUUAUAUAGGGAAUGGAUGUGUCUGUGUAAGAACACUUUUUGAAAACUUAAUUAUUGAUGGAAAUUUUACCAAUAAUGUAUCCAAUCAAUCAAAUGUAUGUGUUUGUAACUUUGUAAACAUUACUGGAUGUGACUUUAAUUAUACAGGCCCAGUGACCUCAUAUGCAUUGUUAAAAGAGAAUUAUGCACUGUAUCAAGACCUUCUCCCUUCCUCCAUCAGAAUGAACUUGAUGCUGCUUCACAACUGAAGCCUGUGCUACUGAAAAUGAAGCCUUACAAGCCUUAUCACAAAAAGGACAACAACAAAGCAAAAACACCCACUCUGACUGAGUUACCAGUACUUCAGUUCAGGCAUCACUGGCAAAUAAGCCUGACUGCCCUGUUGUGCAAAUCUUGAGAAAUUGUGCUAAGCCACAUCUUCUCAGGAACUUAAGGGAUUUCUUACCAGUAGCAAACAGUACCAGCCUGAGUUAGGACUAGACGAAACUAAAACUGCUAUGGCUGUACACCUGCAUGUACGCCAAAGGGAAAUUUGACUACAAGUCAAUUACUUUACACUAUAAAUAUCUGCAGCCCCCCAGGGCCCGUUGAGCUUUCCUGUACGGCAGGAGGCUGCACGGUGGUGAUCGCCCUUUGAGUAGGGAUGCCUUUCAAGGUUACUCCUCGAGGUCAUGAGAUCCCUUACCUGGCAUCUGUUAUCUACAGUGAGUACAGGCACCCAAGGGCAAGCCCACAUUCAAGGAACAGCAUGAGGAUAUCAGUGUUGACUGUCAGCAGAGGAAGGAAGCUUCUUUUGGAGGCCAAGGCCUGGCAUUGACGGUUACGGUUCCUGAGACAUCAGAUGGACCGACUACACAAGUGGGCACCUGAUGCGGCUACUGACCCUGGAGAUGCAGCAUGGUAGGAGAGCAGAGCUGUGUUAGCCUGCUGGGGGAAAGGAUAUGCACAGCAGGGAGCCAGACGGAGCACUCAGCAUGCAAUAACGGAGGGAACAGUUCUGCUCUUGGUGCCUAUGUGACCUGUUAACAUUGUGUUUUGAAGGUGCAAAACAACCCAUGAAAUCAUAUGCAUAGCAGGGUGUCUGUCCCUGAGUGUGUUUGGCAAGGUGUGACAACGAACUGCUUCCAGGCACAAUGGUCACUGUCUGUCUGGUUUUCUAGGUACUACAGGUGAUGCUGGCUACAUCUUCCAGUAUUAGACUGGGAACAAGUGAGUGGAACACCAUGGUGCUUUUGAGGAGGUUAUCAUUGCAGAAGAGAUCAGCAUUGACUGGCAUGAAACUGCCCGAUGGCGCUCUGUUUGCAGAUGAUGAGGAACCGGGCUGGAUCGCAGCGACAUCCUAGUUAGCCUAGGUGGUCUUUGUCAAGGAUGAAUUCUGACCCCCAGCCCUCUGAAAGCUACCUUGAGGGGCCGAUGCUAUCUUUGUGUCGGGUUGCAGGGAGGGGUUUUAAAUUCAACAUAGUGGAGAGGGCAGCUCAGGAUAGGACAUGUUUGGGCAGAGAGAGGGUCUGGGGUCCUUUAUGCAAAAUGCAAGUGUGUGCUGGGCAGGGAAUCUAGAUGGCAUUCCUAAAUGGAAACAAAGCCUCUGGCUUUGUUAAGCUAUUGCUCUGCAUAUGGGUUACUUGUUUGAUAUUGCUUUUGCAGAUGCAGAGGGACAAGCUGUGUGCCAAAGGGCAAUGGAGCAGAGGUGUGAAGCAAUGAGUGAAGCAGGACAUCGGCACUGGAGUUGACUUGGGCAGGGUGAGCAAUGACUAGUGGGCUGAAGCAGCAGUUAUUUUUCAGGUGUCGUAUUGUUGGUGAAGUUAGAAGUAUCCCUCGUUGUGUUUUACAUGUGGUACCCAAGCCUCAGUGUGGCAACCUGUGAACGGCAGAGGCUGGAUGGGCAAGUGGCCAAGGUGCUGCAAGCAAGCUCAGAGGGGUGAAGUUGCACGCCAGUGAGCAGGCUGAGAAGGAGAGGUGCCAUGCAGGCCACCUUUGGAAUUGGAUGAGGUGCCACAAGUGAUGACGGCUGCAGCAUCUGACACAGGAAUCAGUACGGAGCAGGUGCAUGGAAAGCCAUGUUCCUUUUGAGGAGGAAAGCGUUCUGGAAGAGGUCUGUGUUGAACAACAUGAUGCUUAUUUCUGGCACUGUUUUUUUGUAUGUGAUGAAGAGGAACCUGGCAACUGCAGGAAUAUCCUGGUUAGCAGAUGUAGUUUUUGUUGAGGAUGGAUUCAGACCGCCAGCCCUCUGGAAGCUAAGUUGAGGUACCAGGGACCACUGCCCUACAAUGUAUAAUUUUGACUUCAGUUGGAAAGACACUUUCCAAAAUGUAAAUCUUUCUCAUUUGAAGAAGUUGCGUUUGAUGAACUUUCCAUCAGAGUGGAUCUUCAUAGAUGAUCAACUUGACAGUAGAAGUCAUCAGCAACAAGAUUUUUCACUUUCUUUAGGAAAAAAAACAAAAAAAGGUCAAUUUCUUUCCAAGACCCAAGAACAGCCCAUCUUUCUAAAGUUGAUGGCAUCACUGGUCUUUGGGUUCUCAGUUGUAACAGUUGAGAUACCAUGAAAACGUGUUCCUCUGCAUGCUUCAGUACAGUUGAAAGCAUUAGCAAAUCUGCCAGUCCUUUUUGGUAGUCUGAGGUAUUGCAGCCCUAGGGCUUUUUUUCCCCCAAAGUAAAACCAUAUGAGGGAUCUCUUUUCUCACUGAUUUUUCUAUCAUAAAUGGAACUU
Aquila chrysaetos chrysaetos is the source of this 7151-nucleotide long non-coding RNA. RefSeq lists it as uncharacterized. The record is from RefSeq and is a predicted model, not a curated record. Lineage: Eukaryota; Metazoa; Chordata; Aves; Accipitriformes; Accipitridae. The transcript is spliced from 11 exons.